GAUGAACGCUGGCGGCGUGCUUAACACAUGCAAGUCGAACGGGAAUUACUUUAUUGAAGCUUCGGUCGAUUUAAUUUAAUUCUAGUGGCGGACGGGUGAGUAACGCGUGGGUAACCUGCCUUGUACAGGGGGAUAACAGUCAGAAAUGGCUGCUAAUACCGGAUGAUGUCGUAAGACCAAAGAUUUAUCGCCCAGGGAUGAGCCCGCGUAAGAUUAGGUAGUUGGUGAGGUAAAGGCUCACCAAGCCGGCGAUCUUUAGCUGGUCUGAGAGGAUGAUCAGCCACACUGGGACUGAGACACGGCCCAG
Molecule: ribosomal RNA, 307 nt
Filed under: uncultured bacterium
Lineage: Bacteria
Description: bacterial SSU rRNA
Rfam family: Bacterial small subunit ribosomal RNA
Source: RNAcentral